GACGAACGCUGGCGGCGUGCUUAACACAUGCAAGUCGAACGGAAAGGCCCUGCUUUUGUGGGGUGCUCGAGUGGCGAACGGGUGAGUAACACGUGAGUAACCUGCCCUUGACUUUGGGAUAACUUCAGGAAACUGGGGCUAAUACCGGAUAGGAGCUCCUGCUGCAUGGUGGGGGUUGGAAAGUUUCGGCGGUUGGGGAUGGACUCGCGGCUUAUCAGCUUGUUGGUGGGGUAGUGGCUUACCAAGGCUUUGACGGGUAGCCGGCCUGAGAGGGUGACCGGCCACAUUGGGACUGAGAUGCGGCCCAGACUCCUACGGGAGGCAGCAGUGGGGAAUAUUGCACAAUGGGCGGAGGCCUGAUGCAGCAACGCCGCGUGCGGGAUGACGGCCUUCGGGUUGUAAACCGCUUUCGCCUGUGACGAAGCGUGAGUGACGGUAAUGGGUAAAGAAGCACCGGCUAACUACG
This 466-nucleotide ribosomal RNA is filed under the name uncultured bacterium. RNAcentral describes it as "partial 16S ribosomal RNA". It matches the Rfam family "Bacterial small subunit ribosomal RNA", at positions 28 to 505 of the family's 1533-position model. The record is from RNAcentral.